GCAGCCGCGGUAACACCGGCAGCUCUAGUGGUAGCAGUUUUUAUUGGGCCUAAAGCGUCCGUAGCCGGUUUAAUAAGUCUCUGGUGAAAUCCUGUAGCUUAACUGUGGGAAUUGCUGGAGAUACUAUUAGACUUGAGACCGGGAGAGGUUAGAGGUACUCCCAGGGUAGAGGUGAAAUUCUGUAAUCCUGGGAGGACCGCCUGUUGCGAAGGCGUCUAACUGGAACGGUUCUGACGGUGAGGGACGAAAGUUAGGGGCGCGAACCGGAUUAGAUACCCC
RNAcentral lists this ribosomal RNA (279 nucleotides) under uncultured Methanobrevibacter sp. Its description in RNAcentral is "partial 16S ribosomal RNA". It matches the Rfam family "Archaeal small subunit ribosomal RNA", at positions 461 to 739 of the family's 1478-position model. Lineage: Archaea; Methanobacteriati; Methanobacteriota; Methanobacteria; Methanobacteriales; Methanobacteriaceae. The record is from RNAcentral.